UGAGGCAAUAACAGGUCUGUGUGAUGCCCUUAGAUGUCCUGGGCCGCACGCGCGCUACACUGACGAAUUCAACGAGUUUACCUUGGCCGAGAGGCCUGGGAAAUCUUAUUAACCUUCGUCGUGAUAGGGAUAGAUUAUUGCAAUUAUUAAUCUUGAACGAGGAAUUCCUAGUAAACGCAGGUCAUCAACCUGCAUUGAUUACGUCCCUGCCCUUUGUACACACCGCCCGUCGCACCUACCGAUUGAAUGGUCCGGUGAGGCCUCGGGAUUGUGAUGAGUUUCCUUCAUUGGGAGUUUGUCGCGAGAACUUGUCCAAACCUUAUCAUUUAGAGGAAGGUGAAGUCGUAACAAGGUUUCCGUAGGUGAACCUGCGGAAGGAUCAUUGAAACCGAUCAAACCAAUCACAGAGCACUUGCAGGCGCUCGCCUCUCCCCCUCGUGGGGGGGGGUGGGGCAGUCUGCCGUUUACAGGUGCCGCCGGUGCGGGAAGCCCCUCGCGGGGCCCCCGGCCGGGCCGGACCCUUUAACCCAUUGAACCCUCUGCCCUGAAGCAGCUUCGUAUGGGGACACCCCUGCGAUAGUAACUGAGACAACUCUCAACAACGGAUAUCUUGGCUCUCGCAACGAUGAAGAACGCAGCGAAAUGCGAUACGUAGUGUGAAUUGCAGAAUUCCGUGAGUCAUCGAAUCUUUGAACGCACAUUGCCGGUCGACUCUUCGGAGGAGACCACAUCUGCCUCAGCGUCGGAAUACCCCCUCACGCACUCCCGCGUGGACCUGGCCCCCCCGGACACCCCGUCCGGGCUGGCUGAAAUGCAGAGGCUCGUGCGCGGCCCAUUCGUGGCCCCGACUAGGUAGGUAGCUCGCUACUGCUAGGCGGAGGCUCGGUGUCGCGUGCUCUGGGCCCAAAGGAUACCCAUCCAUUCAUUCGACCUGAGUUCAGGUGAGGCUACCCGCUGAACUUAAGCAUAUCAAUAAGC
RNAcentral lists this ribosomal RNA (978 nucleotides) under Ulva flexuosa. Its description in RNAcentral is "bacterial SSU rRNA". The stretch from base 1 to 385 matches the Rfam family "Eukaryotic small subunit ribosomal RNA", at positions 1446 to 1831 of the family's 1831-position model. The record is from RNAcentral. Lineage: Eukaryota; Viridiplantae; Chlorophyta; Ulvophyceae; Ulvales; Ulvaceae.